AUUGAACGCUGGCGGCAUGCCUUACACAUGCAAGUCGAACGGCAGCGGGGGAGAAGCUUGCUUUUCCUGCCGGCGAGUGGCGAACGGGUGAGUAAUACAUCGGAACGUGCCCUGUAGUGGGGGAUGACCAGUCGAAAGAUUAGCUAAUACCGCAUACGACCUGAGGGUGAAAGUGGGGGACCGCAAGGCCUCAUGCUAUAGGAGCGGCCGAUGUCUGAUUAGCUAGUUGGUGGGGUAAAGGCCUACCAAGGCGACGAUAAGUAGCUGGUGUGAAAGGACGUCCAACCACACUGGGACUGAGACACGGCCCAGACACCUACGGGAGGCAGCAGUUGGGAAUUUUGGACAAUGGGCGAAAGCCUGAUCCAGCGAUGCCGCGUGUGUGAAGAAGGCCUUCGGGUUGUAAAGCACUUUUGUCCGGAAAGAAAUGGCUCUGGUUAAUACCUGGGGUCGAUGACGGUACCGGAAGAAUAAGGACCGGCUAACUACGUGCCAGCAGCCGCGGUAA
RNAcentral lists this ribosomal RNA (508 nucleotides) under uncultured bacterium. RNAcentral's name for it is "partial 16S ribosomal RNA". It matches the Rfam family "Bacterial small subunit ribosomal RNA", at positions 30 to 523 of the family's 1533-position model. The record is from RNAcentral.